This 253-nucleotide ribosomal RNA is filed under the name uncultured bacterium. RNAcentral's name for it is "partial 16S ribosomal RNA". It matches the Rfam family "Bacterial small subunit ribosomal RNA", at positions 524 to 776 of the family's 1533-position model. The record is from RNAcentral.
UACGUAGGCAGCAAGCGUUGUUCGGAGUUACUGGGCGUAAAGAGUGCGUAGGCGGUCCUGUAAGUUUGGUGUGAAAUCUCCCGGCUCAACUGGGAGGGUGCGCCGAAGACUGCAGGGCUUGAGUAUGGGAGAGGUAAGCGGAAUUCCUGGUGUAGCGGUGAAAUGCGUAGAUAUCUGGAGGAACACCGGUGGCGAAGGCGGCAUCCUGGACCGAUAUUGACGCUGAUGCGCGAAAGCCAGGGGAGCAAACGGG